This is a non-coding RNA of Podarcis lilfordi (Lilford's wall lizard), 98 nucleotides long. NCBI's taxonomy places the organism in Eukaryota, Metazoa, Chordata, Lepidosauria, Squamata, Lacertidae. The record is from the annotation of a GenBank genome assembly.
AAAAGCCACAGCUUUGAUAGCACCGGUAGAGUUCACAAGCUGCUGGGUCUGAUUCAAGGCUUGUGAACUCUACCGGUGCUAUGAAACUUGUUGCUUCU